ACGUAUCAAUAAGCGGAGGAAAAGAAACUUACAGGGAAUUCCCUAGUAGCGGCGAGCGAAGCGGGAAAAGCUCAAAUUUGUAAUCUGGCGUCUUCGACGUCCGAGUUGUAAUCUCGAGAAGUGUUUUCCGUGAUAGACCGCAUACAAGUCUCUUGGAACAGAGCGUCAUAGUGGUGAGAACCCAGUACACGAUGCGGAUGCCUAUUACUUUGUGAUACACUUUCGAAGAGUCGAGUUGUUUGGGAAUGCAGCUCAAAUUGGGUGGUAAAUUCCAUCUAAAGCUAAAUAUUGGCGAGAGACCGAUAGCGAACAAGUACCGUGAGGGAAAGAUGAAAAGCACUUUGGAAAGAGAGUUAACAGUACGUGAAAUUGUUGGAAGGGAAACACAUGCAGUGAUACUUGCUAUUCGGGGCAACUCGAUUGGCAGGCCCGCAUCAGUUUUUCGGGGCGGAAAAGCAUGGAUUGAAGGUAGCAGUUUCGGCUGUGUUAUAGCUUUCCAUUGGAUUCGCCCUGGGGGACUGAGGAACGCAGCGUGCUUUUAGCAUGAGCUUCGGCUUAUCCACGCUUAGGAUGCGGGUUUAUGGCUGUAUAUGACCCGUCUUGAAACACGGACC
RNAcentral lists this ribosomal RNA (614 nucleotides) under Sporobolomyces phaffii. RNAcentral describes it as "eukaryotic LSU rRNA". It matches the Rfam family "Eukaryotic large subunit ribosomal RNA", at positions 38 to 667 of the family's 3401-position model. Lineage: Eukaryota; Fungi; Basidiomycota; Microbotryomycetes; Sporidiobolales; Sporidiobolaceae. The record is from RNAcentral.